AUCCUUUUGUGGGUCAUACCCAUGAUGAUUGGGUGUUCAUGCACAAAUACGAGAUGUGCCACCUUUUUACAACGUUGGCACAUUACCUGUCUGAUG
Molecule: small nucleolar RNA, 96 nt
Organism: Macaca fascicularis (crab-eating macaque)
Lineage: Eukaryota; Metazoa; Chordata; Mammalia; Primates; Cercopithecidae
Source: Ensembl